Molecule: long non-coding RNA, 493 nt
Organism: Pseudopipra pipra
Lineage: Eukaryota; Metazoa; Chordata; Aves; Passeriformes; Pipridae
Exons: 3
Source: RefSeq, a predicted model, not a curated record
UUUGGGCGCUGCCGGCCUUCCCCCGCAGUGCCCGGGCUGGCCCGGCGCCUGGCAAAACCUCUGAGGGAAAAGGCAAGCAACAACUGCGCUUCUUCUGCCCUUUCUUUAGCCAGGGACUGGAACACAGACAAAAUCGAGGGGCUCUUUGACCUGGGCAGGCUCCGAGCAUUUUUCAGCCUUCCCUAGCGGGGCAUUCUCACCCUCUGAAAAGCUGAAAGGCUUUAACAGCUGGAGACGCGCCUGCAGCUGUGCGAAUUAAUGUAGUUUCUUUUAGGAAACGAAGGGGAAGUUUUCCUGUUGUGAGCUUAAAUACCGAGUCUGCUCUGCUUUUUCCAUCAGGUGACGAAGCUUAUGGAAAAAAAGACCAAAGGCCUCGAGGGAUGUUAUUCUUGACCCCCCGGGGCAAACGGAGGUGUUCACCUGGUCAGCGUCAGGAGCCAUCCUACCUGAGGCCCUGGCUCCCUCUUUCCCUUCGGUUGCCACGUGUGUGCCG